RNAcentral lists this ribosomal RNA (1490 nucleotides) under Streptococcus salivarius. Its description in RNAcentral is "bacterial SSU rRNA". It matches the Rfam family "Bacterial small subunit ribosomal RNA". Lineage: Bacteria; Bacillati; Bacillota; Bacilli; Lactobacillales; Streptococcaceae. The record is from RNAcentral.
UUAAUGAGAGUUUGAUCCUGGCUCAGGACGAACGCUGGCGGCGUGCCUAAUACAUGCAAGUAGAACGCUGAAGAGAGGAGCUUGCUCUUCUUGGAUGAGUUGCGAACGGGUGAGUAACGCGUAGGUAACCUGCCUUGUAGCGGGGGAUAACUAUUGGAAACGAUAGCUAAUACCGCAUAACAAUGGAUGACACAUGUCAUUUAUUUGAAAGGGGCAAUUGCUCCACUACAAGAUGGACCUGCGUUGUAUUAGCUAGUAGGUGAGGUAACGGCUCACCUAGGCGACGAUACAUAGCCGACCUGAGAGGGUGAUCGGCCACACUGGGACUGAGACACGGCCCAGACUCCUACGGGAGGCAGCAGUAGGGAAUCUUCGGCAAUGGGGGCAACCCUGACCGAGCAACGCCGCGUGAGUGAAGAAGGUUUUCGGAUCGUAAAGCUCUGUUGUAAGUCAAGAACGAGUGUGAGAGUGGAAAGUUCACACUGUGACGGUAGCUUACCAGAAAGGGACGGCUAACUACGUGCCAGCAGCCGCGGUAAUACGUAGGUCCCGAGCGUUGUCCGGAUUUAUUGGGCGUAAAGCGAGCGCAGGCGGUUUGAUAAGUCUGAAGUUAAAGGCUGUGGCUCAACCAUAGUUCGCUUUGGAAACUGUCAAACUUGAGUGCAGAAGGGGAGAGUGGAAUUCCAUGUGUAGCGGUGAAAUGCGUAGAUAUAUGGAGGAACACCGGUGGCGAAAGCGGCUCUCUGGUCUGUAACUGACGCUGAGGCUCGAAAGCGUGGGGAGCGAACAGGAUUAGAUACCCUGGUAGUCCACGCCGUAAACGAUGAGUGCUAGGUGUUGGAUCCUUUCCGGGAUUCAGUGCCGCAGCUAACGCAUUAAGCACUCCGCCUGGGGAGUACGACCGCAAGGUUGAAACUCAAAGGAAUUGACGGGGGCCCGCACAAGCGGUGGAGCAUGUGGUUUAAUUCGAAGCAACGCGAAGAACCUUACCAGGUCUUGACAUCCCGAUGCUAUUUCUAGAGAUAGAAAGUUACUUCGGUACAUCGGUGACAGGUGGUGCAUGGUUGUCGUCAGCUCGUGUCGUGAGAUGUUGGGUUAAGUCCCGCAACGAGCGCAACCCCUAUUGUUAGUUGCCAUCAUUCAGUUGGGCACUCUAGCGAGACUGCCGGUAAUAAACCGGAGGAAGGUGGGGAUGACGUCAAAUCAUCAUGCCCCUUAUGACCUGGGCUACACACGUGCUACAAUGGUUGGUACAACGAGUUGCGAGUCGGUGACGGCAAGCUAAUCUCUUAAAGCCAAUCUCAGUUCGGAUUGUAGGCUGCAACUCGCCUACAUGAAGUCGGAAUCGCUAGUAAUCGCGGAUCAGCACGCCGCGGUGAAUACGUUCCCGGGCCUUGUACACACCGCCCGUCACACCACGAGAGUUUGUAACACCCGAAGUCGGUGAGGUAACCUUUUGGAGCCAGCCGCCUAAGGUGGGAUAGAUGAUU